RNAcentral lists this transfer RNA (64 nucleotides) under Dipodomys ordii (Ord's kangaroo rat). It matches the Rfam family "tRNA". From Rfam's summary of the family: Transfer RNA (tRNA) molecules are approximately 80 nucleotides in length. Their secondary structure includes four short double-helical elements and three loops (D, anti-codon, and T loops). Further hydrogen bonds mediate the characteristic L-shaped molecular structure. tRNAs have two regions of fundamental functional importance: the anti-codon, which is responsible for specific mRNA codon recognition, and the 3' end, to which the tRNAs corresponding amino acid is attached (by aminoacyl-tRNA synthetases). tRNAs cope with the degeneracy of the genetic code in two manners: having more than one tRNA (with a specific anti-codon) for a particular amino acid; and 'wobble' base-pairing, i.e. permitting non-standard base-pairing at the 3rd anti-codon position. Lineage: Eukaryota; Metazoa; Chordata; Mammalia; Rodentia; Heteromyidae. The record is from Rfam by way of RNAcentral.
GGUGGCUCAGUGGUAGAGUGCUUGCCUUGCAUGCAUGAGACCCUGGGUUCAAUUCCUAGCACCA